CUACGCCCUGGUACCUACACUUAGCCAUCGUAUAAAUAUCGCGGCAUUAGCCGUCGCAAAUAGCUCGAAGGCGAAAUUAGGUAUUUAUAGUGAAGGUCGUACGAACUUGUUGCUGCUGCUACUGCUGCUGCUGCUACAGUUACAGUUACAGCCACCUUCGCCGAGAACCCAUUGGUGGAGAAGGAUGAACUCACUCUCUCUCUCUCUUUCAUUCAACCGAAACUUGUCACUCGUCUUAUUCUCGAUCGUAAUAAAACAUAACCGCCGUUAAGUAUGAUACUGACCUUAGUCAAAAAUUUAUACAAAUUUAUUCGAUGAUAUAUAAGUAAUUAGACAGAAAGAAAAACAAGAAUAAAAGACACCCAUGGACAAAAUUCUGACUUAUUCCUUCAAAUAUUUGAACAGUGAGAAAAUUUCAAAAGUGUUGGGUUUAUUUUGAACAAUAGAAGAGAAAUUGAAUGAAAGAUACCUAUCGGAUUAUCGGGAAAAUUUCUAAAUGAUUAUUGGAAACUAUUUGGUUGAUAUUGAUCUUUGAAUAAAAUUUUGAAAACAAAAAAAACAAAGAAAAAAGAAAAGAAAAUCUCUCGGAAAACUCUUAUUUUUAAAGUCCGGCUAAUAAGGAUAUAAGGUCUGUCCCUAAAGAAAUACGAAGCCCUAAGGUUUGUUCAGUCAUAUCAUGGAAAAUCCUGAAGAAAAGAGGAUGAAAUUUUCUUGGCGCCUUGUAGGAAUUUGAAAAAGUUAAAAUGCGAAAGAGACUAAUAUCAAAGUUCGACCGGAAAACUUUCGAUUUUUUUGUGAUUUGAACUCGAAGCAAAGGAUCGUAUUUCAAAUGACACAUAAAUCAAAUAUACGAGUUAGUCGGAAAAGUCAUUUUUCUAACAAUAAGAGACAAAUAAGCAGAAAA
Long non-coding RNA from Polistes canadensis, 904 nucleotides. RefSeq lists it as uncharacterized. The transcript has 3 exons. Lineage: Eukaryota; Metazoa; Arthropoda; Insecta; Hymenoptera; Vespidae. The record is from RefSeq and is a predicted model, not a curated record.